CCCGCCCCUCAGUCUGCUCUUCACACGGAUACCACGAAUGCCACGGUGGCCUCCUGAAGACGGAGUCUGGUCUCACAUUCCUCCAGCUUCCUGUGAGGCUUCCCCAAAAAUGCAAAUUCAAUCACAAGGCGCCUGGGCUGACGUCUCCCCUCCUAUGCAUAAACCCCAGCGAAGGGUGAGCGCACGGCAUGGCACCUGCAGCAUGGGGUUCACGUUCUGGAAGGUUCUGGCUGACUCCCACCCCGCCCUUCACUGGCCAAGUAAACUUGCAGAAGUUACUUAACCCUUGACCUAGAAGAGCCUCCUGUCACCUGAAAAGGGAAAGUCGGGAUUGUAAGGAAAGGAAUCUCAUAGGGCUUCUCUGAGGAGACAAAUCAUUGGAUUGGGCUUAGACGUUCCAUCCGUGGCAAGAUUUCCGGCUUUGCCCUUUGGAGCCUGAGGAGCAAGGGUAGAAUGAGGAUCGUGAGGUUCUUCAGAGGCAGUUACUCACGAGGUCACAGCGCAGAAACGGCAAGAAAUGUCAGGACAACUAUGGAUGUGAAGGAUGGGAGAGGGGCCUCCUUCCGCAUGAGGUCCCCAGAGGUAUUUGUCUCCAUCUAGAAACUGAGGGGCAUUUGUCUCCAUCCAGGACUUGGGGGGCCUCCUUCUCCAUCCAGGACUGGGGUGUGUCCUUCUGCAUCCAGGACAGGGGGACAUCCUUCUCCAUCCAUGAUUCAGAGUUCAUCCUUCUCUAUCCAGGAGAGGGGUUCAUCCUUCUCCAUCUAGGACUUGAGGGACAUCCUUCUCCAUCCAGGACUGAGAGGCAUCCUUCUCCUUGCAGUACCUGAGGGACAUCCUUCUCCAUUCAGGACCUGAGGAUGUCCUUCUCUGUACUCCCUUGGGACUGCACCCUUUCCUGUGCCAUCCUUCAGAAUGCUAGGCUGUCGCUGGUUGUGGAUUGAACUCUAGCAUCUUAUCUCUAUUCUAGGUGAAUCCCUUCACAUUUAUAGUGAUUUACCAUUUAAUCACUGUGCCAUUUUCCCCAAAAUAUGUGGGGUUUGGGGUUUGGUUUUUGUUCUUACUUCUAUUAAUUCUUCGGUUCCCACCUCCAGUUGUUUUGUAAUUUCUUUUACAACCUAAUAUGGUCCCAUUUGGUAAGUAUUACCAUGUACUAGAAAAUAAUGUAUAUUCAGUAUUUGUUGUGAUUUUUAAACCUUUAAUAAACUCAUAAGAUUUU
Homo sapiens (human) is the source of this 1216-nucleotide long non-coding RNA. Lineage: Eukaryota; Metazoa; Chordata; Mammalia; Primates; Hominidae. The record is from Ensembl.